GGGCUUGACCGGUUUUGACAGCGGGCAGAAGUGGUUUGUAAGCAUGCAGUGCGUUGUGGAUUAGCACUUUAAUAUCAAUCUUCAAAGCUAUAACUGGCAAUAAUAACAAUUACGCUCUUGCUGCGUAACCGAAGUACAGUAGGUUAAUCGCUUAAUCCCAGCCAAGGUGUUGGGACAAGACAUCACCCGGAAGCUGUGGCUUCGAAGCGUGCCGAUAAGGUGGUGCAGGCAAAUCGGAGAUAGGAUAGGGGAAGCUUUGGCUCCUUUCCGAAAAAUAAAAAGCUAAGGAUUGAGUUUGGUGGUUUCAGUCGCGCUCUCUCCCUACAAUUAAAAUGAGACUAAGCAUGUAGAAAGCGAAUUAAUUCCUCGUUUGGACGAGGGUUCGAAUCCCUCCAGGUCCACAG
Molecule: non-coding RNA, 404 nt
Organism: Bacteroidia bacterium 43-41
Lineage: Bacteria; Pseudomonadati; Bacteroidota; Bacteroidia
Source: Rfam